AUUGACCGCUGGCGGCAGGCCUAACACAUGCAAGUCGAGCGAGCGGCGGACGGGUGAGUAAUGUAUGGGGACUGCCCGAUAGAGGGGGAUCACUACUGGAAACGGUAGCUACUACCGCAUACUAUCGGAUAACCCAUUGGGGAUUAGCUAGUAGUUGAGGUACUGGCUCACCUAGGCGACGAUCCCUAGCUGUUCUGAGAGGAGGCUCAGCCACACUGGGACUGAGACACGGCCCAGACUCCUACGGAGGCAGCAGUGGGGAAUAUGGCACAAUGGGCGCAAGCCUGAUGCAGCCAGACCGCGUGUAUGAAGAAGGCCCUAGGGUUGUAAAGUACUGUCAGUCGGGAGGCGUUACCGACAGAAGAAGCACCGGCUAACUCCGGGCCAGCAGCCGCGGUAAUAC
This 403-nucleotide ribosomal RNA is filed under the name uncultured bacterium. Its description in RNAcentral is "partial 16S ribosomal RNA". It matches the Rfam family "Bacterial small subunit ribosomal RNA", at positions 30 to 526 of the family's 1533-position model. The record is from RNAcentral.